AUAUACCUACUGUUACAUUUUGUUAAUCAUGUUUUUAUUUGAAUUCCUUGCUGUUGACUUUAUUGUGGUGUUAUGUAAAUAUGAUUUAUUUAUCAGUGCCUCUGUUAAUCGAGAAAUAAGAGAUCCAGUCAAUCCUAGACGCUCUCAGAGCUCACGCGAUUCUGGCCGUCCGAUUCAUUUACUUGAUGCGUUUCCGGGCGUCCGAUCGAGCCCUCGGAUGAUCUGGGCCGCCGGAUCAUAACCGAGCCCCUGUAGCAAUGAACAGUUUCACUUCGCGGUAAAUAUCUGCUGCCACCGCCGGUUAAUACAGCACCCCGCCGAGGGCAAUUUUGGGAUUUCACCUAGGCCGGUGGAACGUGCCCUCUCCCGAUUCGCCGCCCUCUCCCCAAUCGAAGAGACGCGUAGGGUUUGACCUCUCCUCGCUUCUUUCCCGCAUGUCUCUCUCUUUCUCUCGCAGUCGUCGUCGCCGCCAGCCAUCCUCCCCAUCGCCCCCUUUCCCCGCCCGUCCCGCUCGCCGUGGCCUUCGCCGAUGACCGCGGCCCUGCGCAGCACAGUGCCGAGCUCAUGAGAAUGAGAGGAGAGGAGCCGCCACCCAACCCAACCCAUCCAACCAAGGAGCCCGUCCCAUCCCACUCCCCACGACGUCUCCCCUCCCAUCUCUCUCGCACCCACCUCGCCGCCGGCCAUGGCCGCCCUCAUCCUCUCCUCCCCUCCCCUCCCCUCCUCUCCUCCUCCCCCGUCAUCAGAAGAGAAGACAAGACGAGAUGGAGGGAGAUCCACCGCGACUCAGCUGGUCAGGCGGCGCGCCCAGAUCCGGCCUUGCUCUGGCCAUCGCCGAUGAGCUGCGCCCAGUUCAGCCAUGGCGCGACCGAGCAGGCGAGGAGGGAGACUAGCUAGGAGUCCCCCCUCUCUCUCUCGGGGGGCGCCGCCCUUCAUCUGCUCCCGCGAUGGCGCCGGAUCCACAUCCACAGCCACGGCGCCGGCACCCAUGGAGUGACCGUGUGCUUCUUCUCCAUGGACAUGGAGCUCCCACAACACACCAUGGAAGGCCUGGAGCUCCUUCUCACAGCAGGUGCACCGCGUACAGGAGGGAAGACCAACGCUCCUCCGGGUCUGCUUCUUCCCGGGUCGCCGUUGCUCCACGGAAGGCGGAAAGUCAUAGAAGAUGGUUCAUUAGCUUCAAACAGAUCAGUGGUUACUGAAUCAGUCUCAAAAUCUUGUUCCUCCGCAGAAGUGAAAGAUGAAGAUGCUGCAAUUGCAGUUGUGAUUGAUGCAGCUGAACUUAAAUGGGGAGAGCAGUCAUUUAGGAGAGGACAAGCUCCUGGAAGGUUUACAUCAGGACGCCAUAAUGGCCAUGGAUCAUCAGAAAGGGAGGCACCUCCACCCGGCUAUGUGUGCCGCAGCUGCGGAGUUCCAGGCCAUUUCAUUCAACAUUGCCCACAGGAAAACCAGAUGCCUCCACCUGGCUAUACCUGCUACAGAUGCCGGGUUCCAGGGCAUUUUAUUCAGCAUUGCCCAACCAUUGGCGGUUCCAAGGCAGUUUAUAUUUACUGUGAUACUCUGAACAUGAGGACCAUGUGGACUAAACUUGCAUCUGGGUGCACCAAGGAGAAGGUCCCACUUAUCAAGGGAUAACAACUAAUUGGUCAGACUUUGUGAAGACAGGGGUUGGAUAAUUUGGAGAAUGUCUUCGCAUUCAAGGCUAAAAGGGGCAAAGCGUCGCUCGUUGUCUACCUGUUUUGACAAGGAAGCUGAAGGUGUUACCAUUCAUGGACAUGGAACAGAAGCUGCCCGGAUAUUGUGACAACAAAUGGAGGUUAAAUCGGGAAGCGAAAGCCAGGUUGGAUACGACCGCAUCGGCAGGGGUGCAGGUUGCGGCAAGCCGCAGCUUCCAUCUAGUCAUAUAGAUUGUCCAGAGUGCGAAGCAGAUCAGAAUUAAUCGUUAGGGUACUUCAACAUCGUUCAAGGCAAGUUUGCACUUUUGAUUUUGCUCAUUGUAUAUUAUGCUAUGCAUGUGUGAUUUUAAGCUAUGGUAAACGUUUGGCCUGAUAUGUGUAUCUCAUGUUGUCAUGUUUGGUAUUGAUUGUGUUAUGUGAUGGUGUGAUCAACUUGCUAUGGUAGACGUGGGCAUGUGUCGAGUGAUCCAUGAUAGUGGUGAGUGUUUAUAGAUGUAGGCUUGGGAUUAUUAAAUAGGUGAAUGCGUCAUUGGCAGAGCGCUCUAUUGUCCCUAGAGAAUGCAUCAUUGACAGAGCACACUUGAGGCGAGGUAUAGUUUUUGGAACUUAAAUCUGGUGAAUGCGUCCUUGGCAGAAUCCCUCUCUCCCGUGCCGUUUCGCCUCGUUCAGAUCUCAAGGGAGUUCACCGCCCUCUGAAGCUUCUGUCGGUCGAUUGCAUCGCUUUUGGAGGUUCCCAGCUUCUCCUCCUGCCCCCUCUCUCCCGUGUUGUUUCGCCUCGUUCAGAUAUCGUCGGAGUUCGCCGCCGUCUGAAGCAUCCAUCGGUUGAUUGCAUCGCCUCUGGAGGGAAACACUACACUGAGUCCAUCGAGCUCGUUCGGAGCUCAACUCCGCUGCCGCCGCUCCAGCCGGUUGCCACCGUUGGGGGAGCAAGCCCCAUUCACCCCUGCGGACGUGUUUGAGUUCACCGACGCCCACGACACCUUGUCCUGCCUUCCUAGAGUCUCGGAGGUCCUUGUAACUGCCGCCAGCUUCAAAUCCAAGCCGCCCUAUGGUCGUCGUCUUCCUCAAGUCCGGAGGCCAGCCCCAGUUUCUCCGGAUUUUCAGAUGAUCAGUGAGAAGGGUUGCGAGUCUUCACUCAGCAUUUCGCCAGUGGGCCUUGAUGGGAUUCAUUGUUUGCUUAUGCUACAUUUCCGCUGUUAUUAUUAAGUAAAGUUAGUUAUGUACUAUGAGUUUGUAAUACUUUAUGAAUUAUGGAUCAUAGGUUAUAGUAAAUGAUGCACUUGUUACUUUGAUA
RNA transcript from Triticum dicoccoides, 2970 nucleotides. RefSeq lists it as uncharacterized. The transcript is spliced from 10 exons. The record is from RefSeq and is a predicted model, not a curated record. NCBI's taxonomy places the organism in Eukaryota, Viridiplantae, Streptophyta, Magnoliopsida, Poales, Poaceae.